This 83-nucleotide transfer RNA is filed under the name Sinisalibacter lacisalsi. Its description in RNAcentral is "tRNA-Pro". Lineage: Bacteria; Pseudomonadati; Pseudomonadota; Alphaproteobacteria; Rhodobacterales; Roseobacteraceae. The record is from RNAcentral.
GCGCCGGUUGCGCGGGCUGCGGCGGGGCCUCCGGCUCGGGUUCGGGGCGGCGCAGCCGCUCGAUCGCAUCGUGCAGGGCGCCC